GCAAACUUGGUCAUUUAGAGGAAGUAAAAGUCGUAACAAGGUCUCCGUAGGUGAACCUGCGGAGGGAUCAUUACAGAGUUCGUGCCCUCGCGGGUAGAUCUCCCACCCUUGUGUAUUCCUUGCAUUUUUGUUGCUUUGGCAGGCCGUUGGUUCGCCAACCACCGGCUCUACGGGCUGGUGCGUGCCUGCCAGAGGACCCCCCCAAACUCGGUUUGUUCGUGUCGUCUGAGUAACCAUAACAAUCGUUAAAACUUUCAACAACGGAUCUCUUGGUUCUGGCAUCGAUGAAGAACGCAGC
RNAcentral lists this unclassified non-coding RNA (298 nucleotides) under uncultured fungus. RNAcentral's name for it is "partial contains small subunit ribosomal RNA, internal transcribed spacer 1, and 5.8S ribosomal RNA". The stretch from base 1 to 73 matches the Rfam family "Eukaryotic small subunit ribosomal RNA", at positions 1759 to 1831 of the family's 1831-position model. Lineage: Eukaryota; Fungi. The record is from RNAcentral.